GCGCUUGUGGCUCAAUUGGAUAGAGCAUCAGACUUCGGAUCUGAGGGUUAGAGGUUCGAGUCCUCUCAGGCGUACCA
RNAcentral lists this transfer RNA (77 nucleotides) under Epsilonproteobacteria bacterium 4484_20. Its description in RNAcentral is "tRNA-Arg". It matches the Rfam family "tRNA". Rfam says of the family: Transfer RNA (tRNA) molecules are approximately 80 nucleotides in length. The record is from RNAcentral. RNAcentral also lists the same sequence under 7 other names. Lineage: Bacteria; Pseudomonadati; Campylobacterota.